AAAGAAAAAAUUGCAAAAUAAAAGAGCUUUGUCGAAAAUCCUGUGUCCCACAACUCCACAAAAGUACCACAACUCCACAAGGCACAAAUCAUUCAAUAUGAACAACAUAACGGUCUUUUAUCAUCAUCAAAUCAUGCUUUCAAAAUUCAAACUUCAAAUCAUAGAUAAUUAAUUAGUUUUCAACUUGAUCACAUAUCUUCUCAAAAUCUCAACAGACGAUUCUCGUGAUACAAUUAGGGUUUGAUUUAGGACUUCAACCAUCAAUCAUGGAGACGAGAGAUUCAGUAGUAGAAAUCGAGAGUUUAGAAAAGGGAUUAUUAUCGGAAGAGAGCUCAAAAAAUGGCGACAUCAUAGAAGAAGAAGACGAUACAACGGUCAUCUACACGGCGUCGUUUCAGGAAAUGGAGGAGAAUUUCGUUAAGUAUCAAACAACACAAUGGGUGUUGUAUUCAUUACUGUCGAUAUUAUUUUGGGGAAUUGGGGUUUUGAUGUUGUUAUAUGUUCCUGUUCGAAGAUUCAUAUUGCGCAAAGAUAUACAAUCUCGAAAACUUUAUGUCACGCGUGAUGCUAUUAUUUAUAAAGCUACAAGGCCAGUAGCAUUUCCUUGCUUUGGUGUGUUAAAGAAGGAGAAAUAUGUGCUGUUGCCCUCAGUAGCAGAUAUUGUGAUUGAACAAGGGUAUCUAGAGUCUUUUUUUGGUGUUUACUCUGUUCGAAUUGAGAACGCUGGUGUCAGAAGACCGCCUAGUGAUGAUCUUAAGAUUCAAGGUAUUACGAAUCCAAGUGCCUUUCGAAAGGCUGUUCUAAAUCACCUCUCAAAAGUAAGGACUGAAGCUUUCACUAGACAAAUAUAUGUAAAUGAAGGUGCUCCAAGUAUGACGGGUGGUCAUCCACAAGUUGCUGGGAUGUCUCCUCCAAAAUCUAUUAAACAUGAUGUUAUUGCACCUGGUGAGUUGGGACUUCUACAAAAACUAGAAGAAGUUGGAACUUCUAUCAAGAGAGUUCAAAAACUGAUAGAGGAACAGCAAUCUCAAGCAUAACCUGUAGAUUGAGGUGAGAAUCUUGGCCUGUAGACAAUAGCUUGGAACUUGCUGUACAGAAGAAGGUGCAAACUCGAAGAUUUUUUCAUAUUGACAGUAAUGAUUCAUGGGAGAAGGGAGGAGGUGUAUCGACUGGAACAGAAACUUGUUGAAGCAACUCAAGGCAAUGCCAGUGUUUCUGAAUCUAUACAUAAUUACAGACAAUUUGGGAUGAGAUUAAUGAUGCAAAGCCAUUACCUUAUUAUACUUGUCACAAGUGCACUUGUAAAAAAUACACACUAGAGAACAAGAGCAAAGAAUAAUUCAGUUCAUCAUUGUUUUUUAAUUGUAAGAGGCAAUAUCCUUAUGUCUCAGCCACUUCCUAAUGUUGCCCAUGCUUACCUAA
Beta vulgaris subsp. vulgaris (sugar beet) is the source of this 1422-nucleotide RNA transcript. RefSeq lists it as hypothetical. The transcript has 8 exons. The record is from RefSeq and is a predicted model, not a curated record. NCBI's taxonomy places the organism in Eukaryota, Viridiplantae, Streptophyta, Magnoliopsida, Caryophyllales, Amaranthaceae.